RNAcentral lists this ribosomal RNA (339 nucleotides) under uncultured bacterium. RNAcentral describes it as "bacterial SSU rRNA". It matches the Rfam family "Bacterial small subunit ribosomal RNA", at positions 30 to 307 of the family's 1533-position model. The record is from RNAcentral.
AUUGAACGCUGGCGGCAUGCCUUACACAUGCAAGUCGAACGGCAGCACGGGGGCAACCCUGGUGCGAGUGGCGAACGGGUGAGUAAUGCAUCGGAACGUGCCCAGUAGUGGGGAUAACUAGUCGAAAGAUUAGCUAAUACCGCAUACGACCUAUGGGUGAAAGCGGGGGAUGCAGCACUUAAUGUUUUGGGAUGGCUACUUGUGGCCGCCUCGGGACAGUCCAGGUUGAGAACAUUAAGUGCUGCACCUCGCGCUAUCGGAGCGGCCGAUGUCUGAUUAGCUAGUUGGCGGGUAAANCCCACAAGGCACGAUCAGUAGCUGGUCUGAGAGGACGACCAG